GACGAACGCUGGCGGCGUGCUUAACACAUGCAAGUCGAACGGAAAGGCCCUGCUUUUGUGGGGUGCUCGAGUGGCGAACGGGUGAGUAACACGUGAGUAACCUGCCCUUGACUUUGGGAUAACUUCAGGAAACUGGGGCUAAUACCGGAUAGGAGCUCCUGCUGCAUGGUGGGGGUUGGAAAGUUUCGGCGGUUGGGGAUGGACUCGCGGCUUAUCAGCUUGUUGGUGGGGUAGUGGCUUACCAAGGCUUUGACGGGUAGCCGGCCUGAGAGGGUGACCGGCCACAUUGGGCCUGAGAUACGGACCAGUCUCCUACGGGAGGCAGCAGUGGGGAAUAUUGCACAAUGGGCGCAAGCCUGAUGCAGCAACGCCGCGUGCGGGAUGACGGCCUUCGGGUUGUAAACCGCUUUCGCCUGUGACGAAGCGUGAGUGACGGUAAUGGGUAAAGAAGCACCGGCUAACUACGUG
RNAcentral lists this ribosomal RNA (468 nucleotides) under uncultured bacterium. RNAcentral describes it as "partial 16S ribosomal RNA". It matches the Rfam family "Bacterial small subunit ribosomal RNA", at positions 28 to 507 of the family's 1533-position model. The record is from RNAcentral.